GAUGAACGCUAGCUACAGGCUUAACACAUGCAAGUCGAGGGGCAGCGGUAUCGAAAGCUUGCUUUCGGUAGCCGGCGACCGGCGCACGGGUGAGUAACGCGUAUCGAACCUGCCUCAUACUCCGGAAUAGCCUUGCGAAAGUAAGAUUAAUGCCCGGUGUUUUCCGAGUCCCGCAUGAGGCUUUGAACAAAGAUUUAUCGGUAUGAGAUGGCGAUGCGUCCCAUUAGCUUGUUGGCGGGGUAACGGCCCACCAAGGCAUCGAUGGGUAGGGGUUCUGAGAGGAAGGUCCCCCACAGUGGAACUGAGACACGGUCCAAACUCCUACGGGAGGCAGCAGUGAGGAAUAUUGGUCAAUGGGCGGAAGCCUGAACCAGCCAAGUAGCGUGCAGGAAGACGGCCCUCCGGGUUGUAAACUGCUUUUAGUUGGGAAUAAAACGGGGCUCGUGAGCCCCCUUGCAUGUACCAUCAGAAAAAGGACCGGCUAAUUCCGUG
Molecule: ribosomal RNA, 492 nt
Filed under: uncultured bacterium
Lineage: Bacteria
Description: partial 16S ribosomal RNA
Rfam family: Bacterial small subunit ribosomal RNA
Source: RNAcentral